Molecule: ribosomal RNA, 518 nt
Filed under: uncultured bacterium
Lineage: Bacteria
Description: bacterial SSU rRNA
Rfam family: Bacterial small subunit ribosomal RNA
Source: RNAcentral
UGGGGAAUCUUGGACAAUGGGGGCAACCCUGAUCCAGCCAUGCCGCGUGAGUGAUGAAGGCCUUAGGGUCGUAAAGCUCUUUCGCCUGUGAAGAUAAUGACGGUAGCAGGUAAAGAAACCCCGGCUAACUCCGUGCCAGCAGCCGCGGUAAUACGGAGGGGGUUAGCGUUGUUCGGAAUUACUGGGCGUAAAGCGCACGUAGGCGGACCAGAAAGUUGGGGGUGAAAUCCCGGGGGCUCAACCCCGGAACUGCCUCCAAAACUAUUGGUCUAGAGUUCGAGAGAGGUGAGUGGAAUUCCAAGUGUAGAGGUGAAAUUCGUAGAUAUUUGGAGGAACACCAGUGGCGAAGGCGGCUCACUGGCUCGAUACUGACGCUGAGGUGCGAAAGUGUGGGGAGCAAACAGGAUUAGAUACCCUGGUAGUCCACGCCGUAAAACGAUGAGUGCUAGUCGUCGGCAGGCAUGCCUGUCGGUGACGCAGCUAACGCAUUAAGCACUCCGCCUGGGGAGUACGGCCGC